Molecule: long non-coding RNA, 5970 nt
Organism: Chelonia mydas (Green sea turtle)
Lineage: Eukaryota; Metazoa; Chordata; Testudines; Cheloniidae
Exons: 2
Source: RefSeq, a predicted model, not a curated record
AGUGUUAUAAGUGCGAUUAAUUGCGAUUAAUUUUUUUGAGUUAAUCGUGUGAGUUAAUUGUGAUUAAUUGAUAGUCCUAAUGUCUGUCUGUCUCUGUCUGUCUCUAUAUAGAGAGAUAGAUACAAAUAUAAAACAGGAAUAAGGGAAUUAAGUGAUUUGUCCUUGAAUAAUUUUUUUAAAAUUAAAACCUGGAAAAACAAUCCUGAAGGGCAUUUUAUUGUUUCAACUUGUAUUUCUAAGUUAAAUGUUAGUUGUUUCCAAUUCAAAUAGAAUCCAACUUCAUGAAAUUAUGACAUUUCACAGAACACUCACGGAAACAUUUUCAGUUACAUAAAAUUCUGGAUCCUUGACCACUCUUAUUGAGCAGUGGACCCUAAGUGCUGACAUCUAUUGUCAAAGGCAUCUUCCAAAAAAAUGCAGCAAUUUCUGAAAGAGAAAUGAGAUUGUCUUUUUAAGUAAUAUAACAAUUGUGCAAUUUUCUGCUUUUUGGCCAUUUUUUUAUUUCCUGUGGGUUUUAAGUAGAGACCUCCAAUUUAAAACCUAUUAUUCUGUAGACAGCUUCUUCCCUUCCUCCCCUCAUGUGACCUUGCUCUAGUUUCUGCCCUGUUAUUUUCACACUUGUUCAUUUUGCUUAGCAUCAUAUUCUAUUUAAAAAUAUAUGUAUGGUACAUGUAUGACACUCUCUCAUAUAUUUACAUGUUAAAGAUGACAAAGUUUUACAUUCUCCUAUAUAUCAACACAUUGCUUCUCAGAAUAAUAAAUGUUUGCUCUUUAAUGAAGCAGAAAUUAUUAUUUCAACACGUGGCUGUGCUCGUUUUCCUCAGAAAAAAAUUGUCAGUGAUAAUUGACCCUCACAACCAGAGAGAGCAUUUUAUGGGGAAGAAGUUUCCCUCCACUCACAGGGAGAGAGCCCACAAAGGAAGUUUUAUCUGGGACUUUUAAUAUCAAUAUACAUAUUCCAGUUGUGUCUUGUAAAGCACCACAAAGUUGCUAAUAUGGGUGCAAGGACUGCAUAUCAGGGUAUGUCUACAUUGUAGUCAUCAGGUGUGAUUGCAGCUUGUGUAGACCUAUCCGAGCUAGCUUCAGUUUAGCUAGUUCAAGUACCAGAGCAAUGAAACAUUGGCAGCAUGAGCUUCAACUUGGAUAGCUACUUGGACAGCUUCAUAGCUUCGAUACCCAAGCUAGCUAGAUUAAAGCCACCACAGACAUAUCUCCAGUCACAGACCCUGAUUUCAGUGUAGACAAUACCCUCAGACUCGGAGAUCAGUAAAACAUUUGUGAAGGGGAUGCUCGGAUCCCACAGUGAUGGUUGUUGGAUUAGUAUGCAGAGAACUAAAGGAUUUUUCCAAAUCUAUCAUUUUGUGUAUGGGCAGGGAGUGUAUUGGCCCCUGGUUAUUACUCUUUCAUGAAGAGUACUGCCCCAACCAGUGUAUUAUCCAGGGGGAAAAAAACACUUUAGGCUGGGAAGUUGGGUUAGAUAAAAUUUUUUUUCAAGAUUAACACCUAGCAUCACUUUUCUUGAAGUAUUGUGCUUAGUACUGACUACCACUGGUGGACUCCAUGGUUGAAAAUAAUUUAAAUUUAUCAGGGUUACAGAAUCAGGCCCUAGCUUAAUAUUCCUUUUUGCACAAUGCAUGUCGACUGCAGAUUGGGACUGUGAUAAUUUGAUGUCUCACCAGGACAUCGCUGUUCAUGUUCCCAACAGGAAUGAUGAGAUUGCCAAGAAAAGUGACAAACUAAUCAGCACUAUUCUUUUGCCUUAGAAGUAACCAGAUCGCUUCUCAGCAGUAUAUUUAAAAUGCAAUCUGUUGCUAUAGUCAAUAGUUGAUAAUGUUUACCUUUCUUUUAUUAUGAGUUUGCUUGUGAUUUGCAAUGAGGUAUACAAGAAAGGGACUUAAAAUUAGCAAGAACAGUCUAUGGGGCUGUGCCAUUAACAGAGAAUGGGUGGGACCAUGUAUAAAGCUGGUUAGUUAAGAGCUGCUAAAGUCUGUGGGUCAGAUCGUUUUUAACGUUAAUCACCUGUGGGUAUGACUUGGUGGUGUGGGUGGUGUGGUAUAAUGUGAUUUGUUAGAGUGUGAGCGUUUUAUAACCGUCAUUUGCGAGUAAAUUACUUAGCAGUAUUCUGCUUUAUGACUGGCUGAAGAAACUUAGUUGAUAGUAUAAUAUAAUUUAUUUCCAUGCAUAAGUGAGUGACCUUCAUAUCUUACUCUGUCUCUUGUGAAUUAUUAUGGGUCAUUCCCUCACUAGUGGAAAUGAAUUGUGCUUUACCACUGCCCAGUGUUUUGUGCACUUUCUCCCACUAAUUACAUAUUUACAGCAUAGCUAAGCCAUAAGACUGAUUCUGAUUUGCUGAUGAAGAUUACAUGCCAUGUGAUUUAUUUAUGCAUGUGCACAGCUCUGAGAAUGUUUGUGUUCGAAACAGAUGAACCUUACUUUGUCUAUUUUCUUUUGUCUGGUGGCAAUAGAACCACAGAUCGAAUCCUAGAACUGGGAAAGAAGUAUUGGUCCAUUGUGUCAUUUCCCUGCCAUGUAGGAUUUUUCCAUACAGGACUUUUUCUAGUGUUUUUUUCUGGACUAGUUUUCAAUGUGUUAACUGAUGAAGCUUCUGCCACUUCCCUUGGAGACUCUUGCACAAUUUAACAGUUCUCAUAGCUGGGAAGAUUUUUCUGAUACUCCACUAGAAUUUUCCCCUUUACUUCUGGGGAGACACGUUGGUACCAUCCUAAAUAAUCCCUCUCCCUUCUUGUUAGUUAGGAGCUUUAAAUGUUUACAGCCUGUCACUUCAUUCUUUGGUCAUAUCUUAUCCCUGGUACAUGUGCAGAGAUACUAGAUUAUAUAUGCAGCUGUUGGCACUGCCUGUUAUCAAGAUUGCCUGACACUUCCCAUUGUAAGACCCUAUUUUUCAGUUUCUUAUAAUGUUCCAAUCUUUAACGCUUUGGUCUGAAAUUUUCCAUGCUGGGUUUCUGCUUUAGGCUUAACUUCUUUGGAAAAUUUCAGCUUUCUGUUCUUUCACCAGUUAAAUACCCCACAAAUUCCACACUGGGUGUGCACAUGGCAGGACUUUCCCUGCAAUUGCAGCUCUGGACUGCUAUGAGCUGUUCUGGGUCUGUUCACCUGAACUGAGAGCAAGGAGACUCUCUUCUGUACUUUGAAUGACCCUCCUCCCCACCACUCCCUGAGGCAAUGUGGAGGAGGAAGCUGCUUGCUUCAGAGGUAGAGGGGACAGGAGCUGGACGUGCCAUGGGUGUGGGCUGGGUGAGUAGAUUGGGACAAGGAGACUGGAGGUGGAGAGGGAGGCAGGGAGGAGGGAACUGGGACUUAAGGCUGGUUGGGGGAGAAGGAAACAAGGACUGGGAGCUGGCAGAGGGAAUCUGUGACUGACUAGUCAAGGAGGCCGGGGAAAGAAAUGGCAGGGAGGCACUGGGAGACAGUUACUGGGAGUGGGAGACAGAUCAGAUGAGGAGCCAGGGGAGACUGAGAACCAGUAUGACGGGGGGAAAGAAGGAAGGGAGACAGAUCUGAUGAAAAAGCCAAGGAGGCUGGUGGUGGGAAGAGCUGUGACUGGCUGAGAAAAGACCACUGGGUAUCUGGGACAAAGCUGGGGAGAGUGGCCAGGAACACUGAGAAUGGACAAGGAUCCUGGAGAGGGAAAUUGGGACUGGGAGCUAGUGUGGACAAAGAACAUGGGCAUAGGUGGUGGGAGAUAACUGGAUGCCAGGAUGGGGUACAGAGACAUCAGAUGAUGAGCUGUGGGGGGUGGGGAGGGGACUAGGACUGACUGGGUGAGAAGACUGUGAUGGGGAGUAUGGAGACUAGGACUGGGAUGAAAAGCCUGAGGAGUAGAGAAUAGGAAUAGAACAAAGAUGGGUGGGAAAAAGGACUCAGACAGGUUGUGGGGAGUAGGGCAGAAGUGUCUAUGCCUAUUUGGUACCCUCCUCUCCAGUUUUCCUGGGUCUCACCAUUCCUCUUCUGUCAGCAGAUAUCUGGGAAACCCACUGGCAAAAUGUCCCAUCUGCCUCUAAUGCUUGUCAUCCUCUGUGUGGACCAUCCACUAGUGCUACCAUGCACUCUGUGUCCCUGUGUAGUGGAUCUAAAGAUUCCAGCUCAGCUGAUGACCCAAAAAAAAGAAGUUUUCAAAUCCAUCUCAGAAAGAAUGUCAAUGGUGUAGAACAGCACCACACUGAGAAAUAAACUGCAAGAGGUCAAAAGCUAAGAGAAAGGAGAGUUUGCUACCAUACAGUCUCUCAUUCUGACAUUCAAAGAAGCAGGUAAUUCUAUCUCAAUGACAAUGGUAACUGAAAGGUAGAUUAUUCCUAACAUUCUUGCCUUCUUCCUUUUCCUCUCCUCUAAUACUUUGGUUUAUUUUCGGUUAUUGGGUUUAAUAUGCAGGUGGCUAGAUGAUGAUGGUGGCCUGUGACAGACUAGAUGAUCUGAUAGUCCAUUCUGGUCUUAAACUCUGAUUCACCCGUGUAGACACUCGAUUUUGACCUUGGAGGUGUCACUUGACAGGAGUUACCUCUUACCCCCUGUACACAUAGAAUUUGGUUCCAAAAGGUCAGGAACAAAGGAGUGGAUCCUGUGGCAUAGAUGAAGUGCGUGUGCAUAGGAGACCAGAGUCUCUUCCAAAUCAUGUAAAAACUGAAAGUUCAAAAUAUGGCCUCUGUAUCCAUGGAAAUUUACCAUCCUAAACACUCUGACAUUGACUCUUUUAGCAUCAGUAACUGUGAACCACCAAUAAUUAAUUUGCUUAUAUCUAAUUUGCCAUGGACAGGGGAAGGUCCUCUCUUGUGGAUAGUUAACUAGGCUGUUUAGAAAGAUGUUAACCUUUUCAACCACUAACUGAAUAUUAUGGUGGGAAAUGCUGCUUCCAUAGACAUUUCCUGACCGUUAGUUUACAAUAGCCUGUCACUUUGAUCCUGCUUUGUCUCUCAUCAUGUGUAUCAGGGUUUCUGUCAAAGGAACACCCUGUAAAAUUUGGAGAUAUUUACAGCUCUAAAACAGUGCUAAUUCCCUCUCCUCACCAAUGUCAUUCCUAUAUAAGUCUAGAAAAUAUUUGACAGAUGAUUCCUGAAUGUACAUUAAAUCUGAACUUGUCACGAGGAUAUUUGCCUUUAAAACAAAAAUGGUGCUGCCAAUCAAGUUGUCUAGUGUAGUUUGACUGAAUUAGAAUGAUAGUAGUGUGUGUGUGUGUGAUGCUGUAUCAUUAAAGAUGAGCAUUUGUAUAAUUGUUGCUACCACUGUUAUACAAUUACAGCAAAUCUUGUACAAAGUAUGCCAUGUAAGGUAUUAAUGGAAAAGUUAAGAUUUGCUAAGUAUAAUUGUCUUGUUUAUGUGCAUGUAUCAUAUUUAUGAAUAUUGGUUAUGUACUUGUAUCUUAAACAUGUGUUGUAUUCCUGGGUCACUCCCCUCCUCCCUGAUAGAAUUUACAUUAGGGCUAGACAGCUAUGUGUUAGUAGCAUAACAAGAAUGCUCCAUUUUCACAUUGGCCAUUGAAGAAACUCAUCCCAUCCAGAUAGCUCGUCCUGUGGAUGCCUCAGAUAGUGAAGAGCCAAUGGUCACCCCCUGAGAUUCAGAAAACCGCAUUGGGGUAUGUGAUAUGAUUAUGUGACUCUGGACUCCAACUUGGGCCAGUAACUUUCCAUGUACCGGGACCAUGGGCUUUAUUUGGGACAGUAAAUUUCCAUGCACAUGGCAGAGGAUAUAAAAAAAGACACCCAAGACGUCUCCAGGGUGCCUCUUUCCUCCUCUAAUUCUCUGGACUGUGGAUUUACAACUAAAAAGAGCAUCUUGAAUUUUGGACUGAGGAUCUUCCGAUCUUUCGGAAGUUACCUGAAGACUUUACAAGCCAGCAGUCUAUUCCAUCAUUGCUAUAAACCUGAUAUAAGAACUUUGCAAUCAUUUGUAUGUAUAUGAUCUAUUAACCAUUUAUAACUCAUUUUAUUUUAUUAAUAAAUCUUUACUAAGGAUUGG